This 246-nucleotide long non-coding RNA is filed under the name Salvia miltiorrhiza (redroot sage). RNAcentral's name for it is "long non-coding RNA (SMIL_LNC013301)". Lineage: Eukaryota; Viridiplantae; Streptophyta; Magnoliopsida; Lamiales; Lamiaceae. The record is from RNAcentral.
ACAUGCAUACAUAUAUAAAUUGAACUGCCAUAACAGUAACACACAGGGGUUUUCUUGAAAGUCCUGCGCUUACUAAAAUAUUUCUUUCAUUUUCAUAAAGUCGAUCGGCCGAUCAUUUUCCUUCAUAUGAUCCAUAUCUGUUCCUUUCUGUCACGCGCCGGGAAGGAGGCCUCCUUACCACGGACGCCAAGACCGGUCGCAAGCGACUCGCGGUCUCCAUAAGUGUACACGUUAACCCUAGCUAGC